UUGGUUUGUCUUAAAUCAAACUUGUCCAACUUUGACCAAGUUUAUAGAAAAAUAUAACAAUAUCUACGCUACCAAAUAUAUGCACUAUCAAAAUAUAUUCUAUGGUGGAUUCAAUGAAACAAAUUUAGCAUUGUAGAUAUUGUUAUAUUUUUCUAUAAACUUGGUCAAAGUUGAACAAGUUUGACUUAGGACAAACCAAA
MicroRNA precursor from Dichanthelium oligosanthes, 200 nucleotides. It matches the Rfam family "MIR1435 microRNA precursor family". Lineage: Eukaryota; Viridiplantae; Streptophyta; Magnoliopsida; Poales; Poaceae. The record is from Rfam.